AUGAUAGUGACGGUUGUUGCCAUAUCCGAGUCUGUUCAAUAUAGCCCUUUUUUCUAUGCUGCCCAUGGAGGAUUAGAGGCUACCAGCGGCAGGACUGGCAUUAGUAGGCCCAGGUGUUGCGGGCGCGGAGGAUUUCUGACGGUGGAUAGAGGGCAGCCUCGCAGGUUGGCGCUGUUGCCAGGGACAGCAAGGGCCACGUUUUCGUCUCUGUAUGCAAAAUCUUCCAUCGCCGGACUGCAGUCUCUUGCAAAAUACUACAUCGGGCCUUUGAUCCUGGAGAUGGAUUGCCAUGCAAUCACAAAAGAGCUAGCUGCGGGAGACCAAUCCAGAUCACAAUGCUAUGCCCUGAUCAAGGAUAUUAAACAAGCACUCUCAGUUUUUUCAGCUUACAGUGUCAGCCAUGUGGUAAGAACUUGCAAUGCUCAUGCUCAUGAGCUUGCAGCGGCUACCAGAAAUGUCAAUGACUAG
This 468-nucleotide ribosomal RNA is filed under the name Triticum aestivum (bread wheat). RNAcentral's name for it is "partial small subunit ribosomal RNA". Lineage: Eukaryota; Viridiplantae; Streptophyta; Magnoliopsida; Poales; Poaceae. The record is from RNAcentral.